Molecule: small nuclear RNA, 105 nt
Organism: Mustela putorius furo (domestic ferret)
Lineage: Eukaryota; Metazoa; Chordata; Mammalia; Carnivora; Mustelidae
Source: Ensembl
UAGUUUGCUUUGGCAGCUCAUACACAAAAUUGAAAUGAUACCGGGAGAUUAGCAUGGUCCUUAUGCUAAAAGGACAUGCAAAAUUGUGGAAAACUCCAUAUUUUU